UACGUAGGGUGCAAGCGUUAAUCGGAAUUACUGGGCGUAAAGCGUGCGCAGGCGGUUAUGUAAGACAGAUGUGAAAUGCCCGGGCUUAACCUGGGAACUGCAUUUGUGACUGCAUGGCUAGAGUUUGGCAGAGGGGGGUAGAAUUCCACGUGUAGCAGUGAAAUGCGUAGAUAUGUGGAGGAAUACCGAUGGCGAAGGCAGCCCCCUGGGUCAAGACUGACGCUCAUGCACGAAAGCGUGGGGAGCAAACAGGAUUAGAAACCCCGGUAGUCC
RNAcentral lists this ribosomal RNA (273 nucleotides) under uncultured bacterium. RNAcentral describes it as "partial 16S ribosomal RNA". It matches the Rfam family "Bacterial small subunit ribosomal RNA", at positions 524 to 796 of the family's 1533-position model. The record is from RNAcentral.